This 106-nucleotide ribosomal RNA is filed under the name Sus scrofa (pig). Lineage: Eukaryota; Metazoa; Chordata; Mammalia; Artiodactyla; Suidae. The record is from RNAcentral.
GUCUAUGGCCAUACCACCCUGAACUUGCCCGAUCCUGUCUGAUCUUGGAAGCUGAGCAGGGUCAGGCCUGGUUAGUACUUGGAUGGAAGAAAGCAGUGGUCAAACU